Molecule: long non-coding RNA, 2287 nt
Filed under: Calidris pugnax (ruff)
Lineage: Eukaryota; Metazoa; Chordata; Aves; Charadriiformes; Scolopacidae
Description: lncRNA (ENSCPUG00000012321.1)
Source: RNAcentral
GGGAACGCCGUGGCUGUAGCUGCCGCCUCAGGUUUGUGGCUGUCGCCCUUGGCAAAGUUGAAGGGUGGGCUUCGUCCCCCUACCCCUCCCCGGGCCUACCCCGGGGCCCCCGGCCCGCUUGGGGAAGGCCCCGGCUCGGCCCGGCCCCGCCCCUGAUCCUCCAGGAAAGCGAGAUGGCGGCACUGGAAAGCCGUUCCCUUUCUCAGCUUCCCGGUGGCUGGAAUGUUCGGCCCAGUAAGAGCCGGGUCCCUGCUGAGGAUGCGCAGCCGCUUAAGGUCGAGAAGCGCUUCAGAAACGGUGCCGGAGCGUCGUCGCCAGAGGUGGGGAGAGAAGGGGGAAACAAAAGACUGAAGACCAGCGUGCGCCAGAUUAUGCAGAGGAAUGCGUGCAGCUCUGCCCUGGCAGAAGGAUGGGAAGGAGAGUUUGGCCCAAGGGACAAACCCAGACUCCCCACAUCACUGCAGUGUCAAACUCAGGCGUGCCCUUCGCUCUCCACAGCUCCUGUGCAGUGAGCAGUCCCAGUCUCAACAGGAGGAGGGAGGAUCUCCUGAGAAAGCAGCCGGGACAGAAGAAGAACGGGAUAGAAAAAGAAACAUCUUGUUACCAGCCUUAUUCAGAGAAGCCUAGAUCAUCGAGAGAUUACAGGCCAACAGCAAAUUAACUCUCAGAUCUCAAAUUAGGCUGGAUUCCAGAUGCUGUGUGGGACAUCACUCUGUGGGAUGUCAUCUUCUUACAGACAUUCAGGUAAGGAAAGAGUGGGAAGAGGCUCGGCUGCUUGCUCUGGCUUGGGCUGGAGGGGGACGGGACCUCCUUUGCAGCCCACUGCAAACUGGAGGAAACUGGUUCCUCCAAUUUCUCCCCUUUCAAUUAGUGAUACAUCAGCUGUUGAAGACCCAUUUUUUUUGAGUGUACACACAGCUGCAAAUGGGUCAAGCCUUUUGGGGGGUGACAUAAGGCCUUUGGGGUGUGUGUCCUGCCUACAAACACCCCAAUGAUGUGCUCAGUGGGCAGGACAGCUGUGAUCUGGAUGUGCUCUGAAGACCUGCCUCACGCACCAAGGGGGCUGACGUGGGUCGUUCUUGCCCAGCACGACAGCGUAGCCCUGCCUAAUGCCUCUUCUCCCUUCUGCAAGAGCAGCAGAUUGGUGAAAACAAAGCUAUUUAUAGUCUGAUGUGUUUGGAGACAACAAGACCACAAGGCAUAUUAAAGUAGAGAGAAGGCCACUUGGCCCAUGCUGCUUUCCUUAUUAAAAUUCUCUCCUUGCUCCUACUCGUACAUCACCUCGGUUGGCUCCUUCCUCUGAAACGAUGAGCGCCAAUAAGCUGAUAUCGGAACACACGGAAAAGACUAAAGAGGAUGGCCUGCCCCAAGCUGAGAGUUUGGGGUUGUUAAUGAUGAUUUCCUCGCAGUAGAAACUUCAUGGUCAUUAGGUAUUCAGCACGGCGGAGGAGCCUACAUCUCAGAGCUUUCAGCAUUAAUAAUAUCGGGACCUAAAGUUUCCAGAACACGGGAACUUUCCACUGAGCACUGAAAAAGAUAAGAGAGGAAGGAAACUAAAAGGAGCUGUGAGGCGAAACGACAACGGCUGCGAGAGUCACUCAUCACCAUCAGAAAAGCUGUCAUGCAUCUGCGCCGGCACCUAUAGCAAGUGACUGGCAGCUGUGUUAAAGGUCAUGAAAGCUCUCUCACUGCACCCAGCUCACCACCACAUACGCAGAAGACCACAGAAAACAAGCAAACCCGACAAUUAUAUGCAUAUACACACACGCACAGAUGAGCAGAGAAGAAAAAGGCCAAAGUCUCUCUGAACGUUCGAGUAAUUGGGAAGUACACAAUACCCCUGGGUAACCACAUUUUUCUGAAAAUCUAUUACUGGAAAUCCUGUUUGCUAAACUUAACAGUCUGACAUGGGAUUCCUCACACACAUCACUGCAGGCAGGCGAACGUAUGAAUCCCUUUGAGGUCUUCAUAACGCUGUCAACAGAUAUCCCUGCGUUAACCUCCCUCCCGCACAGCUAUUUCCAGUCGUCGCCUCAGUCUGUAGACGCUAAGGGUAUAAUUUAUUUUAAUUAUUUGUUUUCAAGUUGAAUGGCUGCAGACUCUGAACAAGAAAUAUCAUUAGGCUUCAGCAUAUCAAAUAGCAUUGUAAAGAUGCUAUUCAUUUUAUAGGCAUGCUAAGGGAAUGUUAGCAUUUUCAUUUAAUUUAUUGAUACGUUGAACAUACUUAUUUAGAAAGAUAGCACACCAACAUAUAAAACAAUAAAAUGCAUUCUAUAACAUCGUGGCA